Non-coding RNA from Acanthosepion pharaonis, 110 nucleotides. Lineage: Eukaryota; Metazoa; Mollusca; Cephalopoda; Sepiida; Sepiidae. The record is from the annotation of a GenBank genome assembly.
ACGGUCAUAUCACAUAAAAACACCGGUUCUCCUACGAUCACCGAAGUUUAAGCAACGUUGAGCCUGGACAAUACUGGGAUGGGUGUCCGUUUGGGAGUACCAGUUUGAUG